CCUACGGGAGGCUGCAGUCGAGAAUCAUUCACAAUGGGCGAAACCCUGAUGCUGCGACGCCGCGUGGGGGAAUGCAGGCCUUCGGGUUGUAAACCCCUGUCAUGUGGGAGCAAAUUGAAAAGCUAGUACCACAAGAGAAAGAGACGGCUAACUCCGUGCCAGUAGCCGCGGUACUACAGAGGGCUCAGGCUUUGUUCGGCAUGACUGGGCGUAAAGGGUGCGUUGGCUGUUUCGUAAGUCUAGUGUGAAAGUGUCGGGCUCAACCCUCGGACUGCACAUGAUACUGGGCGACUAGAGUAAUGGAGGGGGAGGCGGAAUUCGUGGUGUAGCAGUGAAAUGCGUAGAUAUCGCGAAGAACACCGGUGGCGAAGGCAGGUUCCUGGACAUCAACUGACGCUGAGGCACGAAGGCGAGGGGAGCGAAAGGGAUUAGAUACCCCAGUAGUC
RNAcentral lists this ribosomal RNA (446 nucleotides) under uncultured bacterium. RNAcentral's name for it is "partial 16S ribosomal RNA". It matches the Rfam family "Bacterial small subunit ribosomal RNA", at positions 338 to 795 of the family's 1533-position model. The record is from RNAcentral.